RNAcentral lists this ribosomal RNA (252 nucleotides) under uncultured bacterium. Its description in RNAcentral is "partial 16S ribosomal RNA". It matches the Rfam family "Bacterial small subunit ribosomal RNA", at positions 524 to 776 of the family's 1533-position model. The record is from RNAcentral.
UACGUAGGUCCCGAGCGUUGUCCAGAUUUAUUGGGCGUAAAGCGAGCGCAGGUGGUUUAUUAAGUCUGGUGUAAAAGGCAGUGGCUCAACCAUUGUAUGCAUUGGAAACUGGUAGACUUGAGUGCAGGAGAGGAGAGUGGAAUUCCAUGUGUAGCGGUGAAACGCGUAGAUAUAUGGAGGAACACCGGUGGCGAAAGCGGCUCUCUGGCCUGUAACUGACACUGAGGCUCGAAAGCGUGGGGAGCAAACAGG